This 272-nucleotide ribosomal RNA is filed under the name uncultured bacterium. Its description in RNAcentral is "partial 16S ribosomal RNA". It matches the Rfam family "Bacterial small subunit ribosomal RNA", at positions 82 to 353 of the family's 1533-position model. The record is from RNAcentral.
AGUUUGAUGGCGACCGGCGCACGGGUGAGUAACACGUAUCCAACCUGCCGAUGACUCGGGGAUAGCCUUUCGAAAGAAAGAUUAAUACCCGAUGGCAUAGUUCUUCCGCAUGGUGGAACUAUUAAAGAAUUUCGGUCAUCGAUGGGGACGCGUUCCAUUAGGUUGUUGGUGGGGUAACGGCCCACCAAGCCUUCGAUGGAUAGGGGUUCUGAGAGGAAGGUCCCCCACAUUGGAACUGAGACACGGUCCAAACUCCUACGGGAGGCAGCAUG